UACGUAGGGGGCGAGCGUUGUCCGGAUUUACUGGGCGUAAAGCGCGUGUAGGCGGCUCGGAAAGUCGGAUGUGAAAGCCCUGGGCUUAACCUAGGAAGUGCAUUCGAAACUCCCGAGCUUGAGUUCUGGAGAGGAAGGCGGAAUUCUCGGUGUAGAGGUGAAAUUCGUAGAUAUCGAGAGGAACACCGGUGGCGAAGGCGGCCUUCUGGACAGUGACUGACGCUGAGACGCGAAAGCGUGGGGAGCAAACAGG
This 253-nucleotide ribosomal RNA is filed under the name uncultured bacterium. RNAcentral describes it as "partial 16S ribosomal RNA". It matches the Rfam family "Bacterial small subunit ribosomal RNA", at positions 524 to 776 of the family's 1533-position model. The record is from RNAcentral.